GCGGUAGCCGUAACCCACGUCACGGCGCCGAGGAGAACCAGCGCGCAAACCGCGAAGAUGCUCCAGAUGUGCAACGGACGGUUCAUUUGGAAAAUGUCGAAUGUCGAAUGUCGAGUGACAAACGCAGACUCAGUGGUCGCUGAUAACGACAGAGUUUCAUAUUGCCGUUCCUUCGAGCUUCGUCAUUCGUCAUUCGUCAUUUUCACCAUGUAUCCCUUGCCGCGCACGGUGAGCAGCACGCGCGGCUCGACCACAUCAUCGCGCAGCUUCUGACGCAGAUUCGCGACGU
This 289-nucleotide unclassified non-coding RNA is filed under the name uncultured fungus. RNAcentral's name for it is "sequence contains ITS1". The record is from RNAcentral. Lineage: Eukaryota; Fungi.